UUAGCGGCGGACGGGUGAGUAACACGUGGGUAACCUGCCCAUAAGACUGGGAUAACUCCGGGAAACCGGGGCUAAUACCGGAUAACAUUUUGAACCGCAUGGUUCGAAAUUGAAAGGCGGCUUCGGCUGUCACUUAUGGAUGGACCCGCGUCGCAUUAGCUAGUUGGUGAGGUAACGGCUCACCAAGGCAACGAUGCGUAGCCGACCUGAGAGGGUGAUCGGCCACACUGGGACUGAGACACGGCCCAGACUCCUACGGGAGGCAGCAGUAGGGAAUCUUCCGCAAUGGACGAAAGUCUGACGGAGCAACGCCGCGUGAGUGAUGAAGGCUUUCGGGUCGUAAAACUCUGUUGUUAGGGAAGAACAAGUGCUAGUUGAAUAAGCUGGCACCUUGACGGUACCUAACCAGAAAGCCACGGCUAACUACGUGCCAGCAGCCGCGGUAAUACGUAGGUGGCAAGCGUUAUCCGGAAUUAUUGGGCGUAAAGCGCGCGCAGGUGGUUUCUUAAGU
Molecule: ribosomal RNA, 511 nt
Filed under: Bacillus sp. (in: firmicutes)
Lineage: Bacteria; Bacillati; Bacillota; Bacilli; Caryophanales; Bacillaceae
Also listed under: 5 other names
Description: bacterial SSU rRNA
Rfam family: Bacterial small subunit ribosomal RNA
Source: RNAcentral